Molecule: long non-coding RNA, 998 nt
Organism: Oreochromis aureus
Lineage: Eukaryota; Metazoa; Chordata; Actinopteri; Cichliformes; Cichlidae
Source: Ensembl
GAUAAGGAAUACCACUAAGUCAACAGUGUCUGAAAGAUCCUGCAGAAAUGUGUGCGCCCUUAUCUGAGAGGACAUGGAGAGAGUGUCGCAAACUCGAGUUGACAGGUAACCCUACUGGAGUCGCCAAUAGUAACCGGUGGCUUCUCAGCUUCAGUGUGUUGAUGGGCACAGCCAUUGUUACCACAGCUGGAGUUGGUAUACGCGGAGCUGUGAGAGGACAGAGAUGGCGAACGGACAUUUAACUAUUUAACAGGAGAUACGUUAUGACUAAUAGACGACUACUGUUUAAAUGAUGUCUUUGCAGCCCUUAUGGCACACGUUACACAACUUUUCUUCAUGCCAGCAAGACUGAGGUGCCCACAUAGUUGACACAUACAACUGAUUAUGAAUGCAUAUUUUACUAUUCCUAUUUUCACAUCAUCUCCUUGGCUUUAUUAGUGAAAGCCUGGAGAUACUCUGACUUGUGCAUGGCUGAUGUGAAGUAUGAUUAGUACUACAUGACUUACACCAUCAACAACAGAGGCAAUGAAAGCUUUGUUGUUAACAGGUUGGAUGGUAAAGUCAAAUUUCUAAUUCUACACUUGUGUUCGGUAAAGUUAUUCUCACUGCAGCAGAUUUAUAUCUGUGGUUUCACAGGGCGUGAUGUGGACCUCAGCGCUGAGGUGCAGGAGAAUUUCAUUCAGUUCUCCCUACAAACCAGCAUCCAGCCUGAAAAUAUUGUCAUCUUUCCCAAAAAUGGUCCUCUUAUCUCAGAGAAGACGUUUGAUGUAAAAUAACUGCAAUCAACAGUGAUGUUAUGCACAGAUCACUUUUCCAUUUUCCUCUCUCUGGAUGAGUGCCCAGCUGCCUAACCUUGUGUCCAGGUGAUCAUCCUACUGAGGGGCUUUUACUGUUCUGAAAAUCUCACGUCCAUGACCUGUUUCCUUUUUACUUUACUAUCUCUGCUCUUUCUUUAUUAAGAAUGCUCAUAAUGUCACAAAAUUAUAUUCAUCACUUGC